GACGAACGCUGGCGGCAUGCCUAAUACAUGCAAGUCGAGCGGACUUGAUGAGAAGCUUGCUUCUCAGAUAGUUAGCGGCGGACGGGUGAGUAACACGUAGGCAACCUGCCCUCAAGCUUGGGACAACUACCGGAAACGGUAGCUAAUACCGAAUACUUGUUUUCUUCGCUUGAAGGAAACUGGAAAGACGGAGUAAUCUGUCACUUGGGGAUGGGCCUGCGGCGCAUUAGCUAGUUGGUGAGGUAACGGCUCACCAAGGCGACGAUGCGUAGCCGACCUGAGAGGGUGAUCGGCCACACUGGGACUGAGACACCGCCCAGACUCCUACGGGAGGCAGCAGUAGGGAAUCUUCCGCAAUGGGCGAAAGCCUGACGGAGCAAUGCCGCGUGAGUGAUGAAGGUUUUCGGAUCGUAAAGCUCUGUUGCCAGGGAAGAACGCUUGGGAGAGUAACUGCUCCCAAGGUGACGGUACCUGAGAAGAAAGCCCCGGCUAACUACGUGCCAGCCGCCGCAGUAA
Molecule: ribosomal RNA, 516 nt
Filed under: uncultured bacterium
Lineage: Bacteria
Description: partial 16S ribosomal RNA
Rfam family: Bacterial small subunit ribosomal RNA
Source: RNAcentral